CCCUUAGAUGUUCUGGGCUGCACGCGCGCUACACUGAUGCACUCAACGAGUUUACGACCUUGCCCGAUAGGGUUGGGUAAUCUUUUUAAAAUGCAUCGUGAUGGGGAUAGAUUAUUGCAAUUAUUAAUCUUCAACGAGGAAUUCCUAGUAAGCGCGAGUCAUCGGCUCGUGCUGAUUACGUCCCUGCCCUUUGUACACACCGCCCGUCGCUCCUACCGAUUGAGUGCUCAGGUGAAUAAUUCGGACUGCAGCAAUGUUUGGAUCCCGAACGUUGCAGCGGAAAGUUUAGUGAACCUUAUCACUUAGAGGAAGGAGAAGUCGUAACA
RNAcentral lists this ribosomal RNA (326 nucleotides) under uncultured eukaryote. Its description in RNAcentral is "partial 18S ribosomal RNA". It matches the Rfam family "Eukaryotic small subunit ribosomal RNA", at positions 1470 to 1796 of the family's 1831-position model. The record is from RNAcentral.